AAGGGCGCAUGGUGGAUGCCUUGGCACUAGGAGCCGAUGAAGGACGGGACUAACACCGAUAUGCUUCGGGGAGCUGUAAGUAAGCUUUGAUCCGGAGAUUUCCGAAUGGGGAAACCCACCCUUAGGGGUAUCGCAUGAUGAAUACAUAGUCAUGCGAGGCGAACCGGGUGAACUGAAACAUCUCAGUAGCUCGAGGAAAAGACAUCAACCGAGAUUCCGAAAGUAGUGGCGAGCGAAAUCGGAAGAGCCUGCAAGUGAUAGCACAAGACUUAACGGAACGGCUUGGAAAGGCCGGCUAUAGAGGGUGAUAGCCCCGUACGUGAAAAGACCUGUGUGGUACUGAGCUUGCGACAAGUAGGGCGGGACACGAGAAAUCCUGUCU
This 382-nucleotide ribosomal RNA is filed under the name Chloropicon mariensis. RNAcentral describes it as "partial Bacterial large subunit ribosomal RNA". It matches the Rfam family "Bacterial large subunit ribosomal RNA", at positions 13 to 439 of the family's 2925-position model. The record is from RNAcentral. Lineage: Eukaryota; Viridiplantae; Chlorophyta; Chloropicophyceae; Chloropicales; Chloropicaceae.